This is a long non-coding RNA of Ictalurus punctatus (channel catfish), 985 nucleotides long. Lineage: Eukaryota; Metazoa; Chordata; Actinopteri; Siluriformes; Ictaluridae. The record is from Ensembl.
AUCAGAUUAGGGACUGUGCUUUCAUUGGACCACAGGAAGUGGUGGUCUGGCACAACCACACUGUGGAGACUCACACAAGUGUGUGUGUAUGUGUGUGUGCGUCCCACCACACAAGAAAGACUACUGUCAGUGCUACACUUUAACAGUAGCGUACAUGCUGAAAAUUCUCAUUUUGUGCACGUUCCUCUGGGUUUGACAACAACAAAAAAAACAGAUUCCUCGUACCUGUAACAUACCUGGCAACCUAAAGAGUAUGACGGAGGAUCCAGAGUGUAUCCUGGGAACGCUGGGCGUAAAAGACAGCAUAAAGCCCCAGACAACACUGGCAGUAUUGUUGAAUGGGAUAAUAUCAGCUUCCACUGCACAGAUGACAUCCAACAAGGGUUCACCACACAUCCACACUUCUGUAUGAAACUCUACAUGCCCCAUGAUAGUAUUACCUAACCUAGUAUUAACACCUACACAUCUUAUGUAAACCUUCAUAUUAGUGUAAAAUCAUUAUUAAAUCAUCGCCAACAUAUAAUAUUACCCAAAUUGAACUAAAGCACCCAUAAAGCAUUGACUUAACCUCCUAGAAAAUCACUCAAACUGAGAAAAAUGCAAAGUAAAUCCUUCUACAAUGUCUCGAGGGCUGAAGCAUUAAUGUAUGUUUCUUUUAAUUUUGGGGCCUGUUGUUUGUCAACGUAUGUCUUUGUCUGUUGAUUGUAAUAACAUAUAUACCUCUUUCAUGUGUGUUUCUUUUUUUGUAUUGAAUAGAAAAGAUUUACAAUGGAAUGUAUAUGUUUGGAAUCCACGUGAACAACUGGGUCUUCUUGAGGCAAAUCAUUGAUCAUGUGGUGAUACCAGUCACGAGUCCAGUCAAAAAUGGAUCAGUGAUUCUAAGCCCUAUACAGUUUUUUGUAUUGAAAAAAGAAAGAAAAAAGUGUGUGACUUAUUUUGACAAAUGUGUGUAAAACUCACUGAUAGAUAGAUAGAUAGAUAGAUA